GCGGCUGUGGUGGAAUUGGCAGUCACGUCAGACUUAGGAUCUGAUGCCGAAAGGCGUGGGGGUUCGAGUCCCUUCAGCCGCA
Molecule: transfer RNA, 82 nt
Filed under: Bacteroidota bacterium
Lineage: Bacteria; Pseudomonadati; Bacteroidota
Also listed under: 1 other name
Description: tRNA-Leu
Rfam family: tRNA
About the family: Transfer RNA (tRNA) molecules are approximately 80 nucleotides in length.
Source: RNAcentral